AGAUUGAACGCUGGCGGCAUGCCUUACACAUGCAAGUCGAACGGUAACAGGUUAAGCUGACGAGUGGCGAACGGGUGAGUAAUAUAUCGGAACGUGCCCAGUCGUGGGGGAUAACUGCUCGAAAGAGCAGCUAAUACCGCAUACGACCUGAGGGUGAAAGCGGGGGGUCGCAAGACCUCGCGCGAUUGGAGCGGCCGAUAUCAGAUUAGGUAGUUGGUGGGGUAAAGGCCCACCAAGCCAACGAUCUGUAGCUGGUCUGAGAGGACGACCAGCCACACUGGGACUGAGACACGGCCCAGACUCCUACGGGAGGCAGCAGUGGGGAAUUUGGACAAUGGGCGCAAGCCUGAUCCAGCCAUGCCGCGUGCGGGAAGAAGGCCUUCGGGUGUAAACCGCUUUGUCAGGAGAAAGGUUCUGGUAAUACCUGGACUCAUGACGGUACCUGAAGAAUAAGCACCGCUAACUACGUGCCAGCAGCCGCGGUAA
Molecule: ribosomal RNA, 486 nt
Filed under: uncultured soil bacterium
Lineage: Bacteria
Description: bacterial SSU rRNA
Rfam family: Bacterial small subunit ribosomal RNA
Source: RNAcentral